CAUGUCUCUGGUGGAUUAGAACACAACCCUUUGUUUUAACUAAGAUACUACAGGAUAUUAUCGAAUAACGUUUCUAAAAGGGAAAACGGGCCUCUUAAUUACAUAGUGAAAAAAGAGGUAAUAUAUACAUGAAGUACAUUGCAUGAAGGUACUAUAGUUUAUUUUAAUUUGAAUUUGAGUCAAUAAACAUAAAAUACAUGAUUUGAGCUUUUUAGACCUGAACAAUUUCCUGUGCCGCUUUUUUCCGCUAGUCGCAAAAAACAACACUGUUUUCAAUGAGUGUAAACUAAUCCGCUUAGUAUUAAUUCUUCAUUGUUUGCGAGCGCUGGUCAUUUCUGUCCGUGACUGCCAUUCGUGUAACUCUGUUAGGCAUCGUAUGGUUGCCAUGGUGACCACGCUCCUCAAAGUCUGUACAAGGUCUCGGAAUUACUCAUAACACUCUGCUGUCGACUAGCGAGACACAGGACCGCCAUUUGUCGUAGGAUUUCUGCGAAAUCUGUUCAACAAUCAACGAUGGAGUACAUACCCGACUUGAGUGAAAUCCAGAGUGACUUUUUAGCAAAGCAGGUUGCCGAUGCCCCGUCAAUUUCGAUAUGUCAUUUUAUGCGAUCAUCGUUGGAGGCCGAAGGGGACGCGCGUACUAUAGAGAAAAAGAUCGUUUCGGCGCGGUGUCGGCGUUAUUUUCGGCCCCUAUUCCUACGCCUUCUGCCGAGAGCCAAAGCCCCGACGAUGAUGGCCGCCGACGAUCUCCUCUUCUCUCUCUCUCUCUCCCUCUCUCUCUACCACUGAUCUCGGCGUACCCUUUAUAAUGUUCUGCGCUCAUAUUUGUCUCUUUUCGAACCCUCCAAGUAAAUCUGUUUCCCUGACCCACAAACAGCCGCAGCCACAGAAACCACAUAAUGGCACUAGCGGCAAUUGACGUAGCAGCAGGACGGGGAGUAGUAGUUCAUUGAGAAAGAGAACGAUGCCUGUCAGACUUCCUUGAAGGGUAGUUGCAGGGAUAUUUGAUUACAUCGAGGUUCGAUAAACGCACCGAAUAAUCGAAGAACAAAGAAAUAGCUGGCAGGCCGAUCUCGAGUCGACGAAUAUUUUUUGUUCGUUUUCGCCCCUAUUCAUCGCUUCUCUGCGUUUUAUAUUGGCUUUUCGAGAGGACGACGCAGUGGCGCCUCGUAGACAAGCAAUGACCCCAUCCGCCGGAGCCAUCAAGUGACUGCCGUUAUUGCGGCAGCUGGGCAUGACACCAGCCCGCGGAGAUCGUUUCUACAAGAAUCAUCUACACAAUAACAACGCAGAUCAAUUUAGAAAUAGCGAUGACAUCUACAAUGACGAACAGCAUAAUAACGGAACAACAACUAAUCACACGACUGGGCUACGAUAACAACGCGAACAAGAUGAACAUAGGCACCAAUUUUACAACAGGACAAAAAUAAGCAUAGGAGAGAGAGAGUAGGGAAAAGAUAUGAUUUCCAGAUCACGGUUAAAGCUUUGGUACGAAAGAGGCUUUGGUGUUGGCGAUGUUUUUGUUAAACAACGUCUUCUGGUUACCCUGCGUUAGCACAAUGUCAUAGCAGAAGGCAGGCAGAUCCCGUUCUAUUGCUUCAUAGGGUUCGAUCAUAUUCUACAUGCAACAGCUUCCUGUAGUGGUCAGCUUCCUCUACCAGAGUGAAAUGCUCCUUAUGGCUGGAAUGAACAUCGAGGCUGGCCUUCUAGUUCGUUGCCUGGAGGCGGUUAAUGCCUUGGCCGAAAAUGACCAUCCAUGGAACUACCAAAAUCUACACCAGGUCAUCAAAGCGCACCUACACUCGGAUUGAGCUGCUUAGUGUUCGUUUGCUUCUAGCAAAGGCCUCACUCACAUCUUUUCCUUUAAAGGAACCAGCAGAGGACGGGUAGUUGCGAAUUAAAUAUUUACCUUCAUGAUCGUUAUUUCCUCACCAGAAGACAAUACGACAUGGGAAUUUAGAAUCUGAGUAAUAAAAUCGAGACACUGAAAUAUACUCAAAUAUUAUGUUCCAAGGUUCAUUAUUUUCGUCUGAAACUAGCCUAGAUGAGAACAGAUGCUUCGACUCUGUAGUAUGGACAAAGGUCGCUUAAAAAACCGUAAUUGACUUACCACUCCUAUAUAUUAUCUCCUCUCAACGCUUUGAAGUAUCAGGAGAGGGGAUUUCAAUUAACAACCUUCACCGCGUUUUUUUUAUAAAUUUUUUCUACCACCACAGAUCUUUUAUAAACGAGCGAAUAUAAAACGUAUACUGGGGAUAAUAACUCUGAGGGUCAGGUAGUAGUAGAUUCAUUUACAUAAAGCGAAAAGCAUAUUCAUUUGCUCGCUUCUUUUUCAACACGAAGCACCCACUUCGACGAAUCAAACGUUCAAGUUUAUCUGAAUCUCCAAUUUUAGUUCCCCUCUCAAUCUGAACGUUUAGUUCAAUUCAGGAUUCUCUCCACCUUCUUGUUCGUCGUGAAAGAGUUUCGGAUCUAGUAAGGACAACCUACAUAGUCCGUCCAUUCAAUUUGUCGUAGGUUCGUAAUUUGUUAUAGUUCACAGCCGUCUGCGGCAAUUAAUCGCGUAAAUUGAAGUGGUCACAGACGCGGCGAGCAGUCUGGAGCACCUAUCGACUAACGUAAAAUAGCAGUACAAGCAUAAAAAUUACUGUUUAAAGAUUUAGGGUUACAGGUAUCAAUACCUAUAACAGACGCAUAGAUAGAAUUAUUUGGCUAAUUAAUGGAUGUCUGAUUCGCGAACUCGUCGGAUUUAGAUAGCUCGAGUUUGUGUUUCGAGAUGAUAAAAUGAGCCGGGGCGUCAUCUGUGCAGUCAGGGCAGCGUCGUUGAGGGGAAGCGAGAUGCCUCUAGCAGACAUCAAUUGCAGCGAAUAUACAGCUGCCAACGGAAGGCGAGUGAGACGAUAUUGGGGUACGUUAUCCGUUCUUCUUGUGAAAAGCUCAUGUGUACUAGCUAUAGUGUAUACAUAUGUGUACAAGAAAAAAUUAAUCACAGAUAUCACAUACAUGGACAAAAUACAGAGAUAUACCGACAACAAGCAAAUAUAGACUUAAUGGGUACAAAUGGGUACAAAGGGUCAUUAAUAAAAAAAAAAACAGGGUUGUUUCCAUUUUUUUUGUACAGACUUGAAAGGCUGCAAGAAAAAUGGACAAGAUCAAAGAAAUUCAAAAUCCCGUUCAGAUACACGAUUAGUGUAGUAAUCGUACAUAAUAAAGUGCUGAAAUAAAAAUUGCGGCAAAUACAAGGAGAGAGUUUACCCAAGACUUAGGAAUCAAUGCAUAAAAACGGUGCAAAGUAAAACAAAAAUAUUUGUUGUAUUUUAUACAACAAAUAUUUUUGUUUUAAAGUAGAUAUUUAUGUUUUGCGUUAGGUUGGCUUCCCUCUGAGUUGCUGUUAGGACCUCAAUAUGUCGAAUUUUACAUCCGACACCGCCGUUAAGCGUUGUAUCAGACAGCUCCUGUAUCCGCCGAGGCAAAACAAAGUGUCUUUGCCCAUAUUCAAGCCAUACUCUAACCUCUUAGGGACACCAGAUGUCUCUAAGGAAGCAAACGUGUUAACUUGUAAACUAUCAUGAAGAUUGAUGUUCGAAGGUGAUUGAUAAUACUUAGGGUAACAUUAGUUUGUUACAUUCGUUCUAGUUUCUGUCCUUACCACUGACUGGUCCAGAUUACCUAUACCUCGGCAUUAAGUUAUCAUUCAAGAUAAUUGACUACUAUCUUUAAAUUUUGUUAUAAUCAGCUUCAAUAUAUCAAUAGAGUUCGCUUCACCGAUGACGAAUGUAUGCAUGUUCAUUAAAAACGAAAAUCUACGCACCAUAGCUAAGGCAUGCAGUUCCUAACGUGCAAUUCCAUACUGCAUUGCGGUAAAAACGAUGUGUAUUUUACGCAAGUAGGUUUCCAACAUGGGCUCGCAGGAACGCGUAAACAGUAUUUCCAACAUAACUUGAAACCGUAUAUGCGAAUCAAUAAUAGGAAGCAAACAAAUGACGAGGACGACUAUGUAUCAUACCUAAGAAAGCUAUUGGA
RNA transcript from Varroa destructor (honeybee mite), 4023 nucleotides. It is a transcript of the gene named intraflagellar transport 43, with no coding region annotated. The record is from RefSeq and is a predicted model, not a curated record. NCBI's taxonomy places the organism in Eukaryota, Metazoa, Arthropoda, Arachnida, Mesostigmata, Varroidae.